CUCAUUAUAUAAGUUAUCGUUUAUUUGAUAGUACCUUACUACUUGGAUAACCGUGGUAAUUCUAGAGCUAAUACAUGCUAAAAAUCCCGACUUCGGAAGGGUUGUAUUUAUUAGAUUAAAAACCAAUGCCCUCUGGGCUCUCUGGUGAUUCAUGAUAACUUCUCGAAUCGCAUGGCCUUGCGCCGGCGAUGGCUCAUUCAAAUUUCUUCCCUAUCAACUUUCGAUGUUUGGGUAGUGGCCAAACAUGGUUGCAACGGGUAACGGAGGGUUAGGGCUCGACCCCGGAGAAGGAGCCUGAGAAACGGCUACUACAUCCAAGGAAGGCAGCAGGCGCGCAAAUUACCCAAUCCCGACUCGGGGAGGUAGUGACAAUAAAUACUGAUACAGGGCUCUUUUGGGUCUUGUAAUUGGAAUGAGUACAAUUUAAAUCCCUUAACGAGGAACAAUUGGAGGGCAAGUCUGGUGCCAGCAGCCGCGGUAAUUCCAGCUCCAAUAGCGUAUAUUAAAGUUGUUGUGGUUAAAAAGCUCGUAGUUGAACCUUGGGCCUGGUUGGCCGGUCCGCCUCACCGCGUGUACUGGUCCGGCCGGGCCUUUCCCUCUGUGGAACCCCAUGCCCUUCACUGGGUGUGGCGGGGAAACAGGACUUUUACUUUGAAAAAAUUAGAGUGCUCCAGGCAGGCCUAUGCUCGAAUACAUUAGCAUGGAAUAAUAAAAUAGGACGUGCGGUUCUAUUUUGUUGGUUUCUAGGACCGCCGUAAUGAUUAAUAGGGACAGUCGGGGGCAUCAGUAUUCAAUUGUCAGAGGUGAAAUUCUUGGAUUUAUUGAAGACUAACUACUGCGAAAGCAUUUGCCAAGGAUGUUUUCAUUAAUCAGGAACGAAAGUUAGGGGAUCGAAGACGAUCAGAUACCGUCGUAGUCUUAACCAUAAACUAUGCCGACUAGGGAUCGGACGAUGUUAUUUUUUGACUCGUUCGGCACC
Molecule: ribosomal RNA, 979 nt
Filed under: Drechmeria bactrospora
Lineage: Eukaryota; Fungi; Ascomycota; Sordariomycetes; Hypocreales; Ophiocordycipitaceae
Description: SSU rRNA
Rfam family: Eukaryotic small subunit ribosomal RNA
Source: RNAcentral